RNAcentral lists this ribosomal RNA (793 nucleotides) under uncultured Staphylococcus sp. Its description in RNAcentral is "SSU rRNA". It matches the Rfam family "Bacterial small subunit ribosomal RNA", at positions 80 to 859 of the family's 1533-position model. The record is from RNAcentral. Lineage: Bacteria; Bacillati; Bacillota; Bacilli; Caryophanales; Staphylococcaceae.
GCUCCUCUGACGUUAGCGGCGGACGGGUGAGUAACACGUGGAUAACCUACCUAUAAGACUGGGAUAACUUCGGGAAACCGGAGCUAAUACCGGAUAAUAUAUUGAACCGCAUGGUUCAAUAGUGAAAGACGGUUUUGCUGUCACUUAUAGAUGGAUCCGCGCCGCAUUAGCUAGUUGGUAAGGUAACGGCUUACCAAGGCAACGAUGCGUAGCCGACCUGAGAGGGUGAUCGGCCACACUGGAACUGAGACACGGUCCAGACUCCUACGGGAGGCAGCAGUAGGGAAUCUUCCGCAAUGGGCGAAAGCCUGACGGAGCAACGCCGCGUGAGUGAUGAAGGUCUUCGGAUCGUAAAACUCUGUUAUUAGGGAAGAACAAAUGUGUAAGUAACUAUGCACGUCUUGACGGUACCUAAUCAGAAAGCCACGGCUAACUACGUGCCAGCAGCCGCGGUGAUACGUAGGUGGCAAGCGUUAUCCGGAAUUAUUGGGCGUAAAGCGCGCGUAGGCGGCUUUUUAAGUCUGAUGUGAAAGCCCACGGCUCAACCGUGGAGGGUCAUUGGAAACUGGAAAACUUGAGUGCAGAAGAGGAAAGUGGAAUUCCAUGUGUAGCGGUGAAAUGCGCAGAGAUAUGGAGGAACACCAGUGGCGAAGGCGACUUUCUGGUCUGUAACUGACGCUGAUGUGCGAAAGCGUGGGGAUCAAACAGGAUUAGAUACCCUGGUAGUCCACGCCGUAAACGAUGAGUGCUAAGUGUUAGGGGGUUUCCGCCCCUUAGUGCUGCAGCUAACGCA